RNAcentral lists this ribosomal RNA (2904 nucleotides) under Escherichia coli. RNAcentral's name for it is "23S ribosomal RNA". It matches the Rfam family "Bacterial large subunit ribosomal RNA". Lineage: Bacteria; Pseudomonadati; Pseudomonadota; Gammaproteobacteria; Enterobacterales; Enterobacteriaceae. The record is from RNAcentral.
GGUUAAGCGACUAAGCGUACACGGUGGAUGCCCCGGCAGUCAGAGGCGAUGAAGGACGUGCUAAUCUGCGAUAAGCGUCGGUAAGGUGAUAUGAACCGUUAUAACCGGCGAUUUCCGAAUGGGGAAACCCAGUGUGAUUCGUCACACUAUCAUUAACUGAAUCCAUAGGUUAAUGAGGCGAACCGGGGGAACUGAAACAUCUAAGUACCCCGAGGAAAAGAAAUCAACCGAGAUUCCCCCAGUAGCGGCGAGCGAACGGGGAGGAGCCCAGAGCCUGAAUCAGUGUGUGUGUUAGUGGAAGCGUCUGGAAAGGCGCGCGAUACAGGGUGACAGCCCCGUACACAAAAAUGCACAUGCUGUGAGCUCGAUGAGUAGGGCGGGACACGUGGUAUCCUGUCUGAAUAUGGGGGGACCAUCCUCCAAGGCUAAAUACUCCUGACUGACCGAUAGUGAACCAGUACCGUGAGGGAAAGGCGAAAAGAACCCCGGCGAGGGGAGUGAAAAAGAACCUGAAACCGUGUACGUACAAGCAGUGGGAGCCUCUUUAUGGGGUGACUGCGUACCUUUUGUAUAAUGGGUCAGCGACUUAUAUUCUGUAGCAAGGUUAACCGAAUAGGGGAGCCGAAGGGAAACCGAGUCUUAACUGGGCGUUAAGUUGCAGGGUAUAGACCCGAAACCCGGUGAUCUAGCCAUGGGCAGGUUGAAGGUUGGGUAACACUAACUGGAGGACCGAACCGACUAAUGUUGAAAAAUUAGCGGAUGACUUGUGGCUGGGGGUGAAAGGCCAAUCAAACCGGGAGAUAGCUGGUUCUCCCCGAAAGCUAUUUAGGUAGCGCCUCGUGAAUUCAUCUCCGGGGGUAGAGCACUGUUUCGGCAAGGGGGUCAUCCCGACUUACCAACCCGAUGCAAACUGCGAAUACCGGAGAAUGUUAUCACGGGAGACACACGGCGGGUGCUAACGUCCGUCGUGAAGAGGGAAACAACCCAGACCGCCAGCUAAGGUCCCAAAGUCAUGGUUAAGUGGGAAACGAUGUGGGAAGGCCCAGACAGCCAGGAUGUUGGCUUAGAAGCAGCCAUCAUUUAAAGAAAGCGUAAUAGCUCACUGGUCGAGUCGGCCUGCGCGGAAGAUGUAACGGGGCUAAACCAUGCACCGAAGCUGCGGCAGCGACACUAUGUGUUGUUGGGUAGGGGAGCGUUCUGUAAGCCUGCGAAGGUGUACUGUGAGGUAUGCUGGAGGUAUCAGAAGUGCGAAUGCUGACAUAAGUAACGAUAAAGCGGGUGAAAAGCCCGCUCGCCGGAAGACCAAGGGUUCCUGUCCAACGUUAAUCGGGGCAGGGUGAGUCGACCCCUAAGGCGAGGCCGAAAGGCGUAGUCGAUGGGAAACAGGUUAAUAUUCCUGUACUUGGUGUUACUGCGAAGGGGGGACGGAGAAGGCUAUGUUGGCCGGGCGACGGUUGUCCCGGUUUAAGCGUGUAGGCUGGUUUUCCAGGCAAAUCCGGAAAAUCAAGGCUGAGGCGUGAUGACGAGGCACUACGGUGCUGAAGCAACAAAUGCCCUGCUUCCAGGAAAAGCCUCUAAGCAUCAGGUAACAUCAAAUCGUACCCCAAACCGACACAGGUGGUCAGGUAGAGAAUACCAAGGCGCUUGAGAGAACUCGGGUGAAGGAACUAGGCAAAAUGGUGCCGUAACUUCGGGAGAAGGCACGCUGAUAUGUAGGUGAAGUCCCUCGCGGAUGGAGCUGAAAUCAGUCGAAGAUACCAGCUGGCUGCAACUGUUUAUUAAAAACACAGCACUGUGCAAACACGAAAGUGGACGUAUACGGUGUGACGCCUGCCCGGUGCCGGAAGGUUAAUUGAUGGGGUUAGCGGUAACGCGAAGCUCUUGAUCGAAGCCCCGGUAAACGGCGGCCGUAACUAUAACGGUCCUAAGGUAGCGAAAUUCCUUGUCGGGUAAGUUCCGACCUGCACGAAUGGCGUAAUGAUGGCCAGGCUGUCUCCACCCGAGACUCAGUGAAAUUGAACUCGCUGUGAAGAUGCAGUGUACCCGCGGCAAGACGGAAAGACCCCGUGAACCUUUACUAUAGCUUGACACUGAACAUUGAGCCUUGAUGUGUAGGAUAGGUGGGAGGCUUUGAAGUGUGGACGCCAGUCUGCAUGGAGCCGACCUUGAAAUACCACCCUUUAAUGUUUGAUGUUCUAACGUUGGCCCCUGAUCGGGGUUGCGGACAGUGUCUGGUGGGUAGUUUGACUGGGGCGGUCUCCUCCUAAAGAGUAACGGAGGAGCACGAAGGUUGGCUAAUCCUGGUCGGACAUCAGGAGGUUAGUGCAAUGGCAUAAGCCAGCUUGACUGCGAGCGUGACGGCGCGAGCAGGUGCGAAAGCAGGUCAUAGUGAUCCGGUGGUUCUGAAUGGAAGGGCCAUCGCUCAACGGAUAAAAGGUACUCCGGGGAUAACAGGCUGAUACCGCCCAAGAGUUCAUAUCGACGGCGGUGUUUGGCACCUCGAUGUCGGCUCAUCACAUCCUGGGGCUGAAGUAGGUCCCAAGGGUAUGGCUGUUCGCCAUUUAAAGUGGUACGCGAGCUGGGUUUAGAACGUCGUGAGACAGUUCGGUCCCUAUCUGCCGUGGGCGCUGGAGAACUGAGGGGGGCUGCUCCUAGUACGAGAGGACCGGAGUGGACGCAUCACUGGUGUUCGGGUUGUCAUGCCAAUGGCACUGCCCGGUAGCUAAAUGCGGAAGAGAUAAGUGCUGAAAGCAUCUAAGCACGAAACUUGCCCCGAGAUGAGUUCUCCCUGACUCCUUGAGAGUCCUGAAGGAACGUUGAAGACGACGACGUUGAUAGGCCGGGUGUGUAAGCGCAGCGAUGCGUUGAGCUAACCGGUACUAAUGAACCGUGAGGCUUAACCUU